CUGUUCCCGUGGGGACUGGGAGCCGCAGCUUCACUGGCCAUUUACUCGCUCUCCUCUAGAGCUAGAGAUCCUCCAUGCCAGGAGUGACGGUGGCGAGACUGUAGCUCUGGAUCUGCUACUGGUGCCUGUUCCUGUGGGGAUUGCUGUGGCGAUUGAGCGGGAGAUCUCUGGGAGAUCCGGGAGCCACAGCUUCACUGGGCAUUUACUCGACCGCAUCCCUCUCUUG
Molecule: long non-coding RNA, 226 nt
Filed under: Selaginella moellendorffii
Lineage: Eukaryota; Viridiplantae; Streptophyta; Lycopodiopsida; Selaginellales; Selaginellaceae
Description: long non-coding RNA (SMOE_LNC000642)
Source: RNAcentral